UAAUAAGACUUCGUUAGAAUGUCUCGUAUAACACGUAUAAUACGUUCAUAAGAAGUUUCUAUAAAAGUUCAAAUACUUUCGUGAGCCACUGUAAUCAUUCAUCCAUGACUAAAUGAAUAUUAAACAAAAGGAAAAAGAAUUCGAGAAAUUUCGUUUGAACUCAUGGUGCUUUCGCUUGCAUCCGUUCCCACUAUAGUACAGUUAACGGCUGGCACUCGAUCGCGAUUCUUCUAAUUAAUGCAGUGGCGGUUACCUCGAGCGUGUGACCGGUGAAUUCUUUGGCACAGAAGUCGCAGCGUGCUCGCCGCUGGGCGCAAGUGUACUUUAAAUGGUCCUCCAUCAGCACACGCGGGAUCAUCGCGCCACACUUAUUGCUGCAGGGGACCGCGUCGUGCUUGCAGGUAUUCAGGAAUCGAGUUGCAUCGAUACAUAGAGCGUACGAAACGCGCGAGAACGGAAAGCAAAGUCGAUGCCACGGAGGUGCACGAAGGAGGCCGAGCGGGUUCGGAAGCAGCCGAGGCCAUCUGUUACGCUCGGUUCCCACGCUUCCGCCGUCGCCUUUCCCCGCCUUUGGACCAGUCCUCAUCGGUCCUUUUCUUGCCCCCUCUUUCGCCGACACUGCCGGCUCUCGCCGUCGCUUUAUUUUAUAUAGCCGGAGAACGCUUGGACGUCUUUAACCGCGAGUCCGCGUUUUCUGUUACGAACUUACGAGGCGAAACUUUUGUCCAUUAUCGCGAGAUUUCUGCUCGUCGUAGUUUCCGUUUGGCUCAGUCUCGAGGCGUUAAGUAAAAGUUGUACGACUAGUCUUGUAAGGAUAGGACCGGCCAAAAUCUUUAUCUCUUUCGGUCCCGUUCUGU
Molecule: unclassified non-coding RNA, 857 nt
Filed under: Bombus terrestris (buff-tailed bumblebee)
Lineage: Eukaryota; Metazoa; Arthropoda; Insecta; Hymenoptera; Apidae
Description: misc RNA ENSBTSG00005033460.1
Source: RNAcentral